CGGCGGACGGGUGAGUAACGCGUGGGUAACCUACCCUGUACACACGGAUAACAUACCGAAAGGUAUGCUAAUACGGGAUAAUAUAUUUGAGAGGCAUCUCUUGAAUAUCAAAGGUGAGCCAGUACAGGAUGGACCCGCGUCUGAUUAGCUAGUUGGUAAGGUAACGGCUUACAAGGCGACGAUCAGUAGCCGACCUGAGAGGGUGAUCGGCCACAUUGGAACUGAGACACGGUCCAA
This 237-nucleotide ribosomal RNA is filed under the name uncultured bacterium. RNAcentral's name for it is "partial 16S ribosomal RNA". It matches the Rfam family "Bacterial small subunit ribosomal RNA", at positions 96 to 334 of the family's 1533-position model. The record is from RNAcentral.